GUUAACACGCNUACGCCUGUUUUUCAGUUGGUACGUUUUAACAAUGUGUACCGGAUUAUAGUAGACAAAAAUACCCUCAUUUAUCAUGGAUUCUAAGUUUUAAGAUCAAGGAUAUUUAAAUAAUUUUCAUUCUCAAAACUAAAAAAAAAAAAGAAACCCCCAAACCCUUACUCACCUUCCUCAUUCCUCUCAACCCUUUCUUUUUCAUCUCUCUCACUCCAACAUUUUAUCUGUCAUCUUUAUUGCCCCAAUUGAAAAAUAAAUCAGAAACUCUUGCCUAACCCUAAUCCACCUUCCUCACUUCUCCAACACUCCAACAUUUUAUCUGUCAUCUUUAUUGCCC
RNAcentral lists this long non-coding RNA (343 nucleotides) under Vigna radiata. Its description in RNAcentral is "long non-coding RNA (VRAD_LNC016926)". Lineage: Eukaryota; Viridiplantae; Streptophyta; Magnoliopsida; Fabales; Fabaceae. The record is from RNAcentral.